This 460-nucleotide ribosomal RNA is filed under the name uncultured bacterium. RNAcentral's name for it is "partial 16S ribosomal RNA". It matches the Rfam family "Bacterial small subunit ribosomal RNA", at positions 338 to 795 of the family's 1533-position model. The record is from RNAcentral.
CCUACGGGAGGCAGCAGUGAGGAAUAUUGGUCAAUGGGCGCGAGCCUGAACCAGCCAAGUAGCGUGAAGGAUGACUGCCCUACGGGUUGUAAACUUCUUUUAUAAAGGAAUAAAGUGAGGCACGUGUGCCUUUUUGUAUGUACUUUAUGAAUAAGGAUCGGCCAACUCCGUGCCAGCAGCCGCGGUAAUACGGAGGAUCCGAGCGUUAUCCUGAUUUAUUGGGGUUAAAAGGAGCGUAAAUGGGUUGUUAAGGCCGUUGGGAAAGUUUGCGGCUAAACGGUAAAAUUGGAGUUGAAACUGGCUGUCUUGAGUACAGUAGAGGUGGGUGGAAUUCGUGGUUGAGCGGUGAAAUGCUUAGAGAUCACGAAGAACUCCGAUUGCGAAGGCAGUUCACUGGACUGCAACUGACACUGAGGCUCGAAAGUGUGGGUAGCAAACAGGAUUAGAUACCCCUGUAGUC